Long non-coding RNA from Alosa sapidissima (American shad), 308 nucleotides. RefSeq lists it as uncharacterized. NCBI's taxonomy places the organism in Eukaryota, Metazoa, Chordata, Actinopteri, Clupeiformes, Clupeidae. The transcript has 2 exons. The record is from RefSeq and is a predicted model, not a curated record.
CCCCGGUUAUCCCGACCUGCCUUCCGGAUCUUCUCGAUUACUCUCCGAUCUUCAGCCCCCCCGGCCUCCGACCACCAGACGAGCGAGCCCCGACGCGUCACCACCCUCAGCCCGAGACGCCGCUCGAUCACUGGGGGACACACACUCAGCACCUUGGACUGGAACCCCCCGGAAACUUGGAGAACCCCUGGAACCCCUGACACCCCUGGCACUCCUAGCACCCCUGGAACCGGAACCUCCAAGACCUCACGUUUCUCUCACUCCUCUUCCCCCCCUGAACCCUUCAAUAAAAAGACUCUGAAUUUGAA